Molecule: ribosomal RNA, 261 nt
Filed under: uncultured archaeon
Lineage: Archaea
Description: partial 16S ribosomal RNA
Rfam family: Archaeal small subunit ribosomal RNA
Source: RNAcentral
CAGCCGUAAACUAUGCGCGUUAGGUGUAUCGGUGACCACGAGUUACCGAGGUGCCGAAGGGAAACCGUGAAACGUGCCGCCUGGGAAGUACGGUCGCAAGGCUGAAACUUAAAGGAAUUGGCGGGGGAGCACCACAACAGGUGGAGCCUGCGGUUUAAUUGGACUCAACGCCGGGAAGCUCACCGGAUAGGAUAGCAGAAUGAUUGCCGGGCUGAAGACCCUGCAUGACUAGCUGAGAGGAGGUGCAUGGCGUAGACGUCU